CUUCCGCAAUGGACGAAAUUCUGACGGAGCAACGCCGCGUGGGUGAUGAAGUUUUUCGGAUCGUAAAACAGGGUGGUAAGGGAAGACCAGUUACCGUAGUCACGCCCGGUACCUUGCCGUUACUUGACGACAAACCCACGUCUAACUACGUGCCAGCAGCCGCGGUAAUACGUAGGUGGCAAGCGUUGUCCGGAUUUAUUGGGCGUAAAGCGCGCGCAGGCGGUCUUUUAAGUCUGAUGUGAAAUCUUACAGCUUAACUGUAAGCGGUCAUUGGAAACUGGGAGACUUGAGUGCAGAAGAGGAGAGUGGAAUUCCAUGUGUAGCGGUGAAAUGCGUAGAGAUAUGGAGGAACACCAGUGGCGAAGGCGACUCUCUGGUCUGUAACUGACGCUGAGGCGCGAAAGCGUGGGGAUCAAACA
RNAcentral lists this ribosomal RNA (419 nucleotides) under uncultured bacterium. RNAcentral's name for it is "partial 16S ribosomal RNA". It matches the Rfam family "Bacterial small subunit ribosomal RNA", at positions 363 to 774 of the family's 1533-position model. The record is from RNAcentral.